UACGAAGGGGGCUAGCGUUGCUCGGAAUUACUGGGCGUAAAGCGUGCGCAGGCGGUUUGGUAAGACAGAUGUGAAAUCCCCGGGCUCAACCUGGGAAUUGCAUUUGUGACUGCCCAGCUAGAGUGUGUCAGAGGGGGGUAGAAUUCCACGUGUAGCAGUGAAAUGCGUAGAUAUGUGGAGGAAUACCGAUGGCGAAGGCAGCCCCCUGGGAUAACACUGACGCUCAUGCACGAAAGCGUGGGGAGCAAACAGG
This 253-nucleotide ribosomal RNA is filed under the name uncultured bacterium. Its description in RNAcentral is "partial 16S ribosomal RNA". It matches the Rfam family "Bacterial small subunit ribosomal RNA", at positions 524 to 776 of the family's 1533-position model. The record is from RNAcentral.